Molecule: ribosomal RNA, 253 nt
Filed under: uncultured bacterium
Lineage: Bacteria
Also listed under: 1 other name
Description: partial 16S ribosomal RNA
Rfam family: Archaeal small subunit ribosomal RNA
Source: RNAcentral
UACCAGCUCCUCGAGUGGUCGGGACGAUUAUUGGGCCUAAAGCACCCGUAGCCUGUUCUGUAAGUCCUCUGUUAAAUCCAGUCGCUCAACGGCUGGCCCGCAGAGGAUACUGCAAGACUAGGAGGCGGGAGAGGCGGACGGUACUCCGCGUGUAGGGGUAAAAUCCUUUGAUCCGCGGAAGACCACCAGUGGCGAAGGCGGUCCGCCAGAACGCGCUCGACGGUGAGGGGUGAAAGCUGGGGGAGCGAACCGG